GAGGUCCCUUCCGACCCUAACAUCUAUGAAUCUAUGAAGAUUUACCAAAAACACAGCUCCCAGCCCUCUCAAUAUUGGGGGUGAUGCCUGCCCAAUGACUACAAGUUAAAUGGCCGUGGUAUUUACAACCAUGCAAAGGUAGUGUAAUCACUUGUUCCUUAAAUAAGGACCAAUAUGAAAGGCUAAACGAGAAUCUAACUGUCUCCUGCAAGCAGCCAAUGAAAUUGAUCUCCCUGUGCAAAAGCAGGAAUAACUCCACCAGACGAGAAGACCCUGUGAAACUUUAAUCAACUAAGUCAUAUCGACAACAAUAUAAACCGCAAGGGUCCACAGCUGUUUAAACCCAUGACUUAGCGUUUUUGUUUGGGGUGACCUUAAAACAGAGAAAAACUUUUAAGACAAGUCAUAACAAAGUUGUGAUUAUUCACCGAGACCCACAGCUCAAAGUACUUAAAUGUAAUUAGAUCCGACAACGUCGAUCCAUGAACCAGGCUACUCCAGGGAUAACAGCGCAAUCCCCUUCAAGAGCCCCUAUCGACAAGGGGGUUUAUGACCUCGAUAUUGGAUCAGGACAUCCCAUUGGUGUAACUGCUAUUAACGGUUUGUUUGUUCAACGAUUAAAGUCCUACGUGAUCUGAGUUCAGACCGGAGCAAUCCAGGUCGGUUUCUAUCUACGACCACGCCUUUUCCUA
Molecule: non-coding RNA, 692 nt
Filed under: Alligator mississippiensis (American alligator)
Lineage: Eukaryota; Metazoa; Chordata; Crocodylia; Alligatoridae
Description: Bacterial large subunit ribosomal RNA
Rfam family: Bacterial large subunit ribosomal RNA
Source: Rfam by way of RNAcentral